UAACACCGGCAGCCCAAGUGGUAGCCAUGCUUAUUGGGUCUAAAGCGUCCGUAGCCGGCUAAGUAAGUUCUUUGGGAAACUUGACCGCUUAACGGUCAAGCUAUCAGGGAAUACUGCUUGGCUUGGGACCGGGAGAGGUCAGAGGUACUCCAAGGGUAGGGGUGAAAUCCGUUAAUCCCUGGGGGACCACCGGUAGCGAAGGCGUCUGACCAGAUCGGGUCCGACGGUGAGGGACGAAGGCUGGGGUCGCGAACCGGAUUAGAUACCCGGGUAGUCCUAGCUGUAAACGAUGCGGGCCAGGUGUUGGCAUUACUGCGAGUGAUGCCAGUGCCGAAGGGAAGCCGUUAAGCCCGUCAUCUGGGGAGUACGGCCGCAAGGCUG
This 381-nucleotide ribosomal RNA is filed under the name uncultured archaeon. Its description in RNAcentral is "bacterial SSU rRNA". It matches the Rfam family "Archaeal small subunit ribosomal RNA", at positions 471 to 851 of the family's 1478-position model. The record is from RNAcentral.